RNAcentral lists this ribosomal RNA (595 nucleotides) under uncultured bacterium. Its description in RNAcentral is "bacterial SSU rRNA". It matches the Rfam family "Bacterial small subunit ribosomal RNA", at positions 60 to 668 of the family's 1533-position model. The record is from RNAcentral.
AGUCGACGAUGAAGCUGGAGCUUGCUCCGGUGGAUUAGUGGCGAAUGGGUGAGUAACACGUGAGCAAUCUGCCCUUGACUCUGGGAUAACUGCGGGAAACUGUAGCUAAUACCGGAUACGACACCUUGGGGCAUCCCAGGGUGUGGAAAGAAUUUCGGUCAAGGAUGAGCUCGCGGCCUAUCAGCUAGUUGGUGAGGUAAUGGCUCACCAAGGCGACGACGGGUAGCCGGCCUGAGAGGGUGACCGGCCACACUGGAACUGAGACACGGUCCAGACUCCUACGGGAGGCAGCAGUGGGGAAUAUUGCACAAUGGGCGAAAGCCUGAUGCAGCGACGCCGCGUGAGGGAUGAAGGCCUUCGGGUUGUAAACCUCUUUUAGCAGGGAAGAAGCGAAAGUGACGGUACCUGCAGAAAAAGCACCGGCUAACUACGUGCCAGCAGCCGCGGUAAUACGUAGGGUGCAAGCGUUGUCCGGAAUUAUUGGGCGUAAAGAGCUCGUAGGCGGUUUGUCGCGUCUGCUGUGAAAAUCCGAGGCUCAACCUCGGACCUGCAGUGGGUACGGGCAAGCUAGAGUGCGGUAGGGGAGAUGGGAAUU